AAGAGAGGCAGCGGCUGCCGUGAAGGCUGGGAUCGGAUGGGAGAGGUCCUUCUUGGGCUCUAUUUGUUUGUUUGUGACUGGAGCUGCAAAGUUCAGAGCCAAACGUGUUGCUUUCCGGCGGCGGCGACCGCCCCGCUUCACCUGCUCCGCUGACGGGUGCCUACCCGGGGCGGCCCCGCGGCUCUGCGGGUCCUCUGCCCGGCAUCCUGCCUGCCGCUGGGGCCGACGGACGCCAGAGGAGCGGGGGCUGUGUCUCUCGCCUGCCCGCCUUCCCCUCCGCGCCUGCCGGAGGGCAACGGACAGGUAAAUACCCUGUUUGAACACAUUGUCAAAAGAAACUGCUAGAGACUUCAAAGAACUCCUAUCCUCAGAAGAGGUAGAGUGGUAUCACUGGAUCAGAGGAGGAAGAACCUUGAACCUAGUA
This 424-nucleotide long non-coding RNA is filed under the name Parus major (Great Tit). RNAcentral describes it as "lncRNA (ENSPMJG00000001788.1)". The record is from RNAcentral. Lineage: Eukaryota; Metazoa; Chordata; Aves; Passeriformes; Paridae.